RNAcentral lists this ribosomal RNA (274 nucleotides) under uncultured bacterium. RNAcentral's name for it is "partial 16S ribosomal RNA". It matches the Rfam family "Bacterial small subunit ribosomal RNA", at positions 523 to 796 of the family's 1533-position model. The record is from RNAcentral.
AUACGGAGGGGGCUAGCGUUGUUCGGAAUUACUGGGCGUAAAGCGCGCGUAGGCGGACCAGUCAGUCAGGGGUGAAAUCCCGGGGCUCAACCCCGGAACUGCCUUUGAUACUGCUGGUCUUGAGUUCGAGAGAUGUGAGUGGAAUUCCGAGUGUAGAGGUGAAAUUCGUAGAUAUUCGGAGGAACACCAGUGGCGAAGGCGGCUCACUGGCUCGAUACUGACGCUGAGGUGCGAAAGCGUGGGGAGCAAACAGAAUUAGAAACCCUAGUAGUCC